Molecule: ribosomal RNA, 393 nt
Filed under: bacterium enrichment culture
Lineage: Bacteria
Description: bacterial SSU rRNA
Rfam family: Bacterial small subunit ribosomal RNA
Source: RNAcentral
UAAUACGGAGGACCCGAGCGUUAUCCGGAUUCAUUGGGUUUAAAGGGUGCGCAGGCGGCCCGGUCAGUCAGCGGUGAAAUGCCCGCGCUUCACGCGGGAGCUGCCGUUGAUACUGCCGGGCUAGAAUCUCAGCGAGGCGGGCGGAAUGCGCGGUGUAGCGGUGAAAUGCAUAGAUAUCGCGCAGAACGCCGAUUGGGGAGCCAGCUCGCCAGCUGGGUAUUGACGCUGAGGCACGAAAGCGUGGGGAUCGAACAGGAUUAGAUACCCUGGUAGUCCACGCCGUAAACGAUGAUGGCUCGCUCUUGGCUGGAAACGGUCAGGGGCUUAGCGAAAGCGUUAAGCCAUCCACCUGGGGAGUACGCCGGCAACGGUGAAACUUAAAUGAAUUGACGG